CACGUAGGUGGUUUAGUAAGUCAGAUGUGAAAGCCCCGGGCUUAACCUGGGAACUGCAUUUGAUACUGCUUAACUAGAGUAUGGUAGAGGGAAGUGGAAUUCCGGGUGUAGCGGUGAAAUGCGUAGAUAUCCGGAGGAACACCAGUGGCGAAGGCGGCUUCCUGGACCAAUACUGACACUGAGGUGCGAAAGCGUGGGUAGCAAACA
This 207-nucleotide ribosomal RNA is filed under the name uncultured bacterium. RNAcentral's name for it is "partial 16S ribosomal RNA". It matches the Rfam family "Bacterial small subunit ribosomal RNA", at positions 568 to 774 of the family's 1533-position model. The record is from RNAcentral.